Molecule: long non-coding RNA, 6236 nt
Filed under: Sus scrofa (pig)
Lineage: Eukaryota; Metazoa; Chordata; Mammalia; Artiodactyla; Suidae
Description: lncRNA (ENSSSCG00000055111.1)
Source: RNAcentral
AGUUACUUUUAAUACAAAGAUUAAGCUUUCAGCUAACUUUUUUCUUAUACUGAUACUUAUUUUAGAGAACCCAUUGCUGAUAUAAACCAUCUUAUUUAUAUUUUGUUCUGAUACUUGAUAAAUUUAUUUACAUCUUGCUGUGAAAUUCACUUUGCUAUUAAGUAAAUUCAUUCAAAAGUUCUGAAAAAUGGUAUUAACUAUUCUUAAAAGUGCUAUCAAAACCCUCCUAAUGCUCUGGGCUGUCAGUGACAUAUCAUCUUCUUAGAGUCACAUUCUCUAGUAACUGCAAUCAGAAUUUCUUUCUCUCUCAUGCUUCCACUGUUGCACAGGAUAUAGCCUUAACUCAACACCUAUUCCAGUUUACUUAUAUCAAAGAUAUUCAUGAAAAUAUUCUCUCUCCAGGAAGGCAGCAACUAUCUAUUUUCUCUCUCUGUCACUAGCAUAAGGCUUUAUGCUUCUCAGCUGGAUUCAGAUAAAUAUUUGAUGAAUUGAAUGCAUUCUGUUCUUGUUUUAAUAAUGUAUGCAUACAUCUAGCAUAGAAUACUUGGUAGGCAACAUUGUAUAAGAUAUCCCUCAAACACCAAUUUACAUUGUGUAGUAUUUUUUUCCAGAAGAGAACUAAUAGUUAUUAAGCGCCUAUGAUACAUUAAAGAUUGUAUCUGUAUUCUCAAUUAGUUCCUGUAAUAUAGGGACUAUUAUUAACUUUGUAUCUAUGAGGAAAUAGAAGCAUGAAAGAAUACAUAACUUUUACAAGGUCUAAUGGCUGUUAAAUGUCAGGAUCCCCCUUGUCUGCCUAACCCUCAAGUCCAAAGUAUUAUUUCACACUUCAUAAUAGGGAUUAAAUAUGUCAACCUAGAGAUGGAUUUUGAAGACAAGUGAUAGGAAGUAUAUAUUUUGUUACCAAAGAUACCCAAAGUUUCUGGAACCCGGAAGAAGACAUUAAUAAAUUAGGGAUUAUCUAGAGAAAUGCAAGCAAGAUAUAUUGAGCUCCAGAAACUACAUUUUAUGUAAUAUUAAGGAAGGGAUGUCUUUUCUCCAAGAAAAUAGUAAAUGAUACUACCUGGUGAGGAAUUUGACCUUACUCAGGAGAGGUCUGGCCUUUAUACUUGGCUCCUGGGAGGUAAACUCUGAGCCCUUGGGAUUUUCCAAGUGAUAAGAGUUUCUAUUAUUCGUGGUGAACCUUUUGGACAACUUGGUAAAUCAAUUAAUCAUGGCUGGGUAAUAAAGCCCCAAUAAAAACUCUGUAUGCUGACACUCACAUGAGCUUCCCCUGCUGGCAAUAUCCUAUGUGUGCUGUCACACAUAAUAACUUAGAAGAAAGGGAACACAUUCUGAGCAUGAUGGAAGCUUCUAUUUGAAAGCCUCCCAGACUCUGCAGUGUAUCUCUUCCUUUGGCUGAUGUUUGGUAUCAUGUCCCUGUAAUAACUGAAACCAUAAGUAUAGUAGGUUUCAGUUCUGUGAGCCACUCUGGUGAAUGAUCAAACUCGAAGGUAGAUUUCAGAAACCCUGAACUUUCAGUAGUAAGGGUGGUCUUGUGUGGGCUCUUUCAUUUAACUUUGUAGUUGAACACUAACUCCUCUGUCAUUAGGCUAUAAAAUCUUGGGCAGACUUGAUGGACUGGAAGACUACACCCUUAACUCCAUGCAGAUGUAUAAUAAUAAUACGAUCAUUUUAUAAUCCUUAAAAGUGUAUUCUAGCAUAUUAAAAACUAUGGAGGAAAGUGUCAAGAACAUGAAAGAUAGGGAAAGGCUGAGGAACCAUUGCAGAUUGGAGGACACUAAGGAGACAUGACAACUGAAUCCAAUAUGGGCUCCUCUAUUGGAUACUAGAGAAUAAAAAGGACAUUAGAGGAGAAUCUGAUGAAAUUUUAAGAAGAUUUGUAGUUUAAUUAAUAGUGUUGUAUCAAUAUUUUAUUUUAUUUUUGUAAUUAUUAUUUUUUAAUAGUUAUUUCCCCGAUACAAUUUUUUUUUCUGCUGUACAGCAUGGGGACCCAGUUACACAUACAUGUACACAUUCUAUUUUCUCACAUUAACAUACUCCAUCAUAAGUGACUAGACAUAGUUCCCAGUGCUGUAUUCAACUCAGGAAUAAUUUCUCUGUAAGUUUAAAAUUAUUUCCAAAUUAAAAGUAUAGGAGUUCCCUAAAAAAUAAAAAAUCCAUGGAGAAGGGUGUGAAAAUAGACUUUAAAUAUUCAAAGUAUUGUCAUGUGAAAAUAUUUGGUAUUGUUAGAGAGAGAAACUUUGGCUCAAUGUCAGAAAGAAUUUUCUAAAAAUUAGAGCUACCCAAAUAUAUCAUAAGUUGCCUAUGAAGGCAGUAAGCUCUCUACUUUUGAAAACGUUUACUCCUAGUGUAGAGUGUUAUAAGUCAGAUGUAUUGUUAAGGGAUUCCAGCCUCAGGAGAGAAGGUGGAUGAUUCUUAAGAUAUCUUCAGACUCUAAGCUUCUGCUAUUUUAUGGUCUCUAUUUCCUCAAAGUAGUAUCCAAUAGAGGCAAGCUUCCAUAGUUAAUAAGUCAAGUCUUUCAAUUUGGCUCUUACAAAAUCUGUUACUUUCGCUUUACUUAAAUUACCGGGGGGGGGGGGGGGGGGGGGAGGAAUGCUUUAGGAGAGAACAUUUACAUUUAUAUAGUGCUGGCUCACAUCUUCCCUUAGAAGUUUUUGUCAUUAUCAGGGUAAAUUAAGGAAUAAUACUUACUUUCAAAUGUUAGUAGAAAGUAUCUUUUCUCUAAAAAGACGUUCUACCACUGAUGAACCAUAAGAACUGGUAUUUGGUCACAAAUCAAACUCCACAAAAGAUUUUUCAAAUGAUUCCUAAAUGGAUUUAAACAAAACCUAAAAUUGUCACACAAGAACAUAAACCACACACUUAACAAUUUAAUGCAAAAUACAUUUAUUUUCAUUUCAUGAAAACUUUUCAUGUUAUAUCAAUAAAUGUCACAUCAACAGCUCAUGAAAUAUAUACUCUGAGGCUUCCUGAGUAAUUGGCAUUUCUUUAUACUGAACCAAAUUUUAAUUCUAUUCUUGAGUGAAACUUUUAGAGUGUGGGGUUUAUUGAACAAGUAGAAACUAACCUGUUUCUUGGAAUAAGGAACAUUACAUUUCACACAUUUCUGUUAAUAUUCUAAUCAGACAAAUUAUUGUCAGAGCAAGCAGCACAAAAGCAUCUUACUUCAAAGAGGUAAUUUCAUGGACCUGACAUACUAUGAAAUAUGAAAUAAAAUAAUAAGAAUCCCAACUGAGAAGUGUAAUAAAUCCUGGUCCAACUUUGCCCAGAAUAUCUUAUUGCUAUUGCUACAGAGACAUUAUAAGUUUGGGGUUGCCUUGGGCUAUCCUUGUGUUACAAUAACAUCAUAGUUUUGCUCUAAAGACUCAGCCUGCCCCAGGUUCCUAACUGUGACAGGUAAGACAUGAUGUGAAAUAAUAACUUAAAAAUUGCAUAUUAGAGAAGUUCCCAUUGUGGCUCAGUGGUUAAUAAAUCUGACUAGCAUCCAUGAGGACGCAGGCUUGGUCACUUGCUCAGUGGGUUAAGGAUCUGGCAUUGCCAUGAGCUGUGGUGUAGGUUGCAGACAGGGCUCAGAUCCUGUGAUGCUAUGGCUGUGGGGAAGGCCAACAGCUAUAGCUCCGAUUCAACCCCUAACCUGGGAACCUCCAUGUUGUGGGUGAAGCCCCACCCACAAAAAGACAUAUUAGCUUAAGUAUCUUAAUUAAAACAGAAAAUUCUUUUAAAAUUGGUUAACAAUGAUAUAACGAAGCAGUAUGUCUCUGUUCUUACUUUGGGGGUGAAGGUAGUAGGAAGAAUAGAAGUAUCAGAAGUGGGUCAUAGACUCCCACAUUUCAUUUUGUAGAUUUAUGUAACAUCUUGGAAAAACCUCUCAAAUUUCUUAAUAUGGAAUAAAAAUAGAUUUGGGGAACCUUAGAACUUGAAAAUAACUCAUUAAGGUAAUGCAGUUCUCAGAGUCUAAGUAAGAUAUUCUCCCAGCUUCAAAAUAGAAUAUGGGUCUAAUUUUAGCAAUGUGAAUAACUGGAGAAUUUUACAUAAAAGAUGUUGACUUUGAACUCAAAUCAUCCAUACAAAUGGAAAACUAGCUGUUAUUUAUUUCUCUCCAAUAAAUACAUAGUGAAAAGGUAGAUCCUUUUCAUGUCUGUCAAGAGAUAUGAGAUUCAAGUGCUGUCAAUAAUGAGCUAACUAUAAAUUAGCAUUCCCUGAUUUUCCAGCUUUUUUUGUUUUCAUAUGAGGAAUUAAAACGACAAACAUAGAGGUGGCUGUUUAAAAAGUCAUUUCUGAAAGUCCAUAAACAAUCACAUGCUUCUAUUUCCAUUCCCAAGAUUAUACACAUCCUUCUGUUUUUAAAGGACAACUGAUAUUUCAUAUAAUGUCUUCAUGUUUUUAUCUCAACUCUACAUUUCAAGAUAGUGACAGAGUUGCACUGUCUCCUUAGAGUAGGCUAGAAUGGUUCACAUGCUCCACCAACAAGACAAUUUUGAUGCUUUGAAUUGUCCCUGUAAUUUCAUCCACAUCAGUCUUCUCUGAAGUUCUUAUAAAGCUAAGGGUCAUCACAAUUAUAUAGUUCUAAUGCCAUGUUCCUCAUUCUUCUCUGAGAAUGAUGGGAUUAUUUUAGAUUGGAGAAGGUCUACAUGUGUACCUUGUGUUUAUUCUAAGGCUGCUUCCCUUGGAAUUUCUCCAUAAUUUAAUCCAACUUCAGGCAGAUGAGUGGAAUAAUCCAUAGUUUGACAUUCACGAGAGUAAUGGUGCUCAAAGUUGCUCACUGGGUGGAAUCACUGAAGGUGAAGGUGCUCUUUUUGAAAUAUCAUGAAAUCAUGAUAUAUUAAAUUCUAACCUAUGAGUUUGAAAUAUUUGAUUCCUGGAUGAUGCAACCAUAAGGAAAUACUAAUAAAAUCACAAACCUUCUUCCACUUAAGCCAUAAUAAAGCCAAGCUUUCUAGGUGCUUCCUGGAGGGAUGUAUACAAUACAAUUUAUGAAUGAAUUCUGCUAAAAUAAGUAAGGAAAAGCAUCCAAAUGUAGCAUUUCAGUGAAGCUCUCAGUUUACAGGAAAUGCCAGUAAAGAAGAACACGACCAAUACUUUAGGAAUGAAAUCAGUAAAAUCCAGAAUGAGACAGACACUAAAGGGCAACUUUUUGAUCAACAAGUUGCAAAGAACUAAAAGAAGAGGAAACUACAUAUUGAAAGGGAUUUUAGAUAUAUGACACCAAAUGCCAUGUGUAGUCUAUGUUUACAUCCUCAUUCUAACAAAUUAACUUUUAAAAAAAUAAUGAGGCAAUCAGGAGAAUUUGCACAAUUAAGGGAUAUUUAAUGAGAAUAGGAAACUGCUGUAAAUAUUUGUAGGGUAAUAAUGCUAUUGUGCUUUAAAAACAGUGCUCUACUUUUAGAGACACAUAGUGAAAUAUUUAUAGAUGCAUGCAAAUUAUACAAUGCAUGAGCUUACUUCAGAAUAAUCCAGCAAGUUAGAAAUGAGUGAAUGGUGGGUACAAAUGAAACCAGACUGGCCAUACAUUGAUAAAAGUUAAAUAGUUGGGUAUAUAUCCAAAGAAAGUGAAAUCACUAUCUCAAAGAGAUAGCUGCACCCCCAUGUUCACUGCAUUAUCAUUUACAAAUAGCCAAGGCAUAGAAACCACCUGUGUCCUUCGAUGGAUGAAUGGAUAAAGAAAUGUGGUGUGUUUGUAUAUAUGUGUGUGUGCGUAUAAUAAGAAAUACACACACACGUAUAUAUAAUCUAGUGGCAUAUUACUCAGUCAUAUAAAAUAUGGAAAUCCUGUCAUUUGUGACAACAUGAGUGAAUCUUGAGGACAUUAGGCCAAGUAAAAGAAAUCAGAGAAAGAUAAAUAUUACAUAAUCUCAUUUAUAGGUAGAAUGUACAAAACAAACAAAAAAAUGAACUCAUAAAAACAAAUUGUAGGUUGGCGGCUGCCAGGAGCUGGGGAGUGGGGACAAUGAAUAAGGAUGAUCAAAGGGUACAAAUUGCCUGUUAUAAGAUGAAUAAGUUCUGGAGAUCUAAGAUGGGGGUCUACAGCAUGGUGCCUGUAGAUGACAAUACUAUAUCAGACAUCUGAAAUUUACUCUGAGAGUAGAUCAUAAAUGUUCUCCCCAGAAAAGAAAAGAUAACUAUGUAACUAUGAGAGGUGAUGGAUGUGUUAACUAACCUUAUUGUGGUAAUUAUUUCACAGACAUUACACAAUGUUAUAUGUCAAAUAUAUCUCAAUGUAGUUGGAAAAAAAAAAA